Molecule: long non-coding RNA, 936 nt
Organism: Cyprinodon tularosa
Lineage: Eukaryota; Metazoa; Chordata; Actinopteri; Cyprinodontiformes; Cyprinodontidae
Exons: 4
Source: RefSeq, a predicted model, not a curated record
UAUCUUAUGUCUAACAUGUAGCUUCUACUAUAUAAAAUCAUGUUUUGUGGUUGAACAGUUUUAAAUCAUGUAGAUUUAGCAUAAAAUGCAACAACUUAAAAUUUACUUGAAUAAUUUAUGUUAAAACAACCUAAUUCUAAUGGGUUAAGAUUGCAAAUCAAUAACACUCCAAAGCAGUAGGUGGCAGUAAUGAGCACAUUCCCCUCUCUUGAAGGCCACGGUCAAAGGUGAGUGAGUCCCCGACUCUGGCUGGCAGAAGGAGUAGACAUUUUGAAAAGAAAUUUCAAGUGUGGAAGAAGCUAACUGCUGAAUUUAAGAGGAUUACAACCAUCAGUUUGCUGUCAAAGUUCUUCUCCCAGCUGGAUGCUCAUUCUUCAAACUUGAUGAGGGUGUUUGGCAAGAAAGGCGGCGUUCAAGGAAGAAAGAUAAGGAGCAUCAUGAUACCCAUCACCAAGACUGACGCCAUUGAUGUCAAAAGAGAGUGAAUCAUCAAAGCCCUGUGUGUGUACCUGAAUGAAGAGCCCGAGAACCUUGUGAAAGAAUACAUGAACACAGAUUGUGGGAGCAGUGAAGCUGCAGUGAUGGAGACGACAUUUGGAAUAUUUGUCAUUCGCAAGGAAGGUGCAGAGCCAGGUGAUGGACCGGAAGAUGUAGGUAUAGUUCUGGAUGGGCUCGGAAACGUGCCACUUGCUGUGGUCAUGUUGUUUGCGCUUGUAUAUGCGCUUAACCUCAGCUACCCGCCAGAGCUCAGAUACACCUUUGAAGCUUUGCAGAAGAUCAUCGUGGAGCUUGAUGGAAACAUACUCUCAAAAAAAACUCAAACACUGAAAACUCUACUUGCGUGUUAGUCACCCUCAAUAGAGUAAACUACAGGUUUGGAGUUACUCUAAUGGGAAGGCAUUUGAAGCCAUUUGAGUAGUUACUGAACUGAAAGCU